CACCGCGGUUAUACGAGAGGCCCAAGUUGAUAAACAGCGGCGUAAAGAGUGGUUAAGGAACACUGACAAACUAAAGCCAAACACUUUCAGAGCUGUUAUACGCACCUGAAAGCAUGAAGCCCAACCACGAAAGUGGCUUUAUCACCCCUGAACCCACGAAAGCUAAGAAA
RNAcentral lists this ribosomal RNA (170 nucleotides) under Mene maculata. RNAcentral describes it as "partial 12S ribosomal RNA". The record is from RNAcentral. Lineage: Eukaryota; Metazoa; Chordata; Actinopteri; Menidae.